This is a long non-coding RNA of Cygnus olor (mute swan), 3544 nucleotides long. RefSeq lists it as uncharacterized. The record is from RefSeq and is a predicted model, not a curated record. The transcript is spliced from 3 exons. NCBI's taxonomy places the organism in Eukaryota, Metazoa, Chordata, Aves, Anseriformes, Anatidae.
GUGUUCCUAAAUUUGAGAGCCUGAAUGACAGUCCUCUUUGAUCAAGUGGCCUCUUCUGGAUGUUUCCACUCUGAGCUGCCUGGAGGGCAUAGAGAAAGACCUCUAAGGCAAAGAUCUCAGGUAGAGAGGAAGGAGAUGAUCUGUUCUUCAGAUCUGUUGGACCAAACAAGAUCAAUUCACACUGAUUAAGUGACCAGAAAGACUGCGGUUGCUGGUCAUAAAUACCAUUGCAGCUUCUCUUGUUUUAUCUGUACAGAAUAAAGCACAACAUAACUAUGAAAUAAUUGGCAAACUUCAGCUACAGAUAGAAAUUGCAAGUAGUUUCAAAGUGCUUUGGAACAUCUUUCCCUCCCUUUAACUUGUUUUGGAUCAUCUUUUACCCACCAUUUUUAAAAGGACAGACUUUUCCCAGAAGAUUGCACAGUACAGAAGCGUAUAAAUUUAAAUCAAAAGUAAAAUGUCAUCAGAAAAGGAAUGUUCUAUUUGUAUCUUUUAACUGGUGAAGAUGACACAGUUUGUAAUGAGGGGUGAUAAUUCUGUGGGGUGGGAUACAAUACAGAACGAAGACACCUUACUCUUCAAAGUCAGUUUCAUAACUUGCUGUAUGUAAGGGACUAAUUCAAUUCCUGAAGGAAUCGGCUCUUACUGGGUAUAGAUUAAUGAGAAUACUUUAAUAUUUGGAGGCAGAGAGUUCCUGUGGUGGUGGAUAGGAUGAACCUUUUGGAGUGUGCCCAAAUUAUCUAAAGUGCUCAACCACGUAACCAUCUUACUACCUCUGAGCAAAGCAAUCAUGGCCCAGAUUAAAUUGCCAGCAAAAUUCCUAUUGCUCACAUUUGGGCCAGGAAUUCACUCAGAUUAAAAAGAUAGAUAAGAAUGUGCCACUAAAACUCAAUGGAAAUUACUUCAUCGGGGGAAUCACUUAAUGGCCUACAGUAAAUCUAAAGCAACUUAGAUAAAGAAUGAAAUACUACUGUUAGAUUACAGCUGUCUCUUAUCUCACUUUUUACUUAUUAUCAAACACAAAGAAUCAGAUUUUCAAAGUUAGUUGCGCACAUAUUUCCAGACAACUUUGAUGUAAUUGUAUAGCUUGUGUGUGAAAUCAAAUUACAGGGUUAUACAUAGAUGUGUUACUGGUAUUGUUCAUCUGUGAUAUGCCCUCCAAAUAUACUCUUUGAUUGUUAUUACUCAUUUCUGUUUGCCUGGACUUGAAAAGCUGGCUGUGGAAAUUUGAACAGUAUUUAAUUCUACCUUAAAACAAGAUGACCAUUUCAGCUGACUAACAAAAAAUAAUUCUGCUGGCUUGCUGGAGGGUGAGCAAUCAUACCUCUGUUUGCAAUAUUAGUGUUUUCUACCAUGUGCAAGAGAAUCGCGUGUCCACCACCACUCCGGUGCUUGGGGCCUAGCACCUGACCUCCCUGAAGCCAGGGGCAGUCUUCCCACUCAGCUCAGUGGGGUGAUGAUCCAGCCAGGUACUCCUUCUUGGGGCUCAGUCAGACAAAGAUGUUAGUACAGUCCUGAUUUGCUUUAUUAUUCCGGUACUCCUUACCUUAGGGGUGAGAAAAGGGCAAAUGGGGCAGAAAGAAAUAUCUGGGUCAAUAUUCUCUUAUCGGAGGUAGAAGAAGCCUGGGCUUGGCUACAUAUGGGGAAAACUUCAUGUGCAGUAUGCUAAUGGGAAAGACUGGGAAUGUCCCAUGAGACUAGGUGUAUAUAUCACACCUCAUAUUACAUUUUUUUUGUUUAUAUAUACUUACAUUGGGACUUAAGUUUUAAAACAUGUAUUUUUACCAUUAAAAUCCAAGACUAAAUCAUUUCCACCUGCUUAGUACUUAUAGUGUAGAUAAAUUUUGAAUAUUCAGCAUUCAUUACUGCAAGUUAAAAACCUUUCCCAUCCAUCCACUGGUUACUUCAGAUGGAAGUGUAAAUGGUGUUGAUACAAUAAAAGAAUUCCUCACUCAUUUACAAAUAUUCUUUAUUAAAGAGAAAUAAAUAAUUCACAACUUAAUAAUCAGGAUGUGGUGUUCAGAGCCUGAAAAUGAUUGGUGUGAUUUCUUCAGAUGAAAACUGUUUAAGUGAUGUCCCAUGCAGCAGUUUAGCAGCCGUACAUAUGAUGUCACUCCUAGAAGUCCAAGUAAAUGACGUCAUACAUACGACCACCAAGCCACCACCUGACAAAUGACUGUUAUAAGGAAGUGAAUUAUCAUGACAAAGAGAAAUAACAGGCUGAUAGCAAUGCUGAAGGUCACUUUAUACGUAGAAUUGGUAGAAAAAAAGCAAUUUGGAUUCAUUAUUAAACUAUGCAGAAAAUAGUAAAUAGUGCCCUGGUUGCUGUAAGACAGAUACCUGCUAUUAACAUAUGCAAGACUGUGUCCAUUUCUGCAAGAGAGAAUCCAGAUAAAGCAAGCAUAAAAUUAACUUUUUUCCCAUAAAAUAUUGGAUACGAUCCACAAAUAUUUUUCUUCCACCAUCAAGGAGCUUGAACUGUUGACUAUACAUGACACGAUGGAAAAGAAGUUGCUGUUGAAGCAAGAUGGAAACAUCUCACAGUUAGAUCCCAUACAAUUUAUAUUGCCGAUUUUGGCAGCCGUGUAAAGCAAGAGAUUAUCAUCUGCAGUAGAUGAGGACAAGGCACUUUUAAUGAAAAGCAGCUCACGACUCUCUGACAGUUCUUUUCCAUUGCGGCAGUCAGUACUGCUCACACGAGGAAGCUUUACUCUCAGGACAGCCUGAUGCAAACUGUGGGCGUAAAGGCAGGCUGCAGAAUGCUUCAUAGAUUUUGUCUUCAGCUCUAAUUGUGUUUUCAAGAGACCUCUUUGGGGCAAUCAGCUACAUUCUUAUUUUAUUAAAAAGCAAAGAGAGAGAAAAAAAGGUCCUGCUCACCCCAGAACCUCAGGUGAACAGAACAGAGCAGGGCACUCCUCUCCCUCCUGGAAAACUGUGUGCAGCCUGUGUCUGAAAUUCUCAAAAUAAUUCUCAUCAACUUUAUAUCAUCAGCAAAGUACUUUCCCAAAUCUUUCUUGCAUGAGAAGAGCUGUGGAAUUUGCAAGUCCACUUUCUUACAGCUUGAAGCAACCCAUAGCUAUAUAGGAAAAUAUGCACUUCUUCAGCACCUCUUCUGCCCUCUGAAGGGUGGGACCUGCUCUGGACCAGAUGCUGGAAGAGUGUUUAAGCAGGAGGAGUCUUAUGCAUACAUUAUCUGCACAGACACGGCUUUUAGAGACCUCUGGUGAAAGCUGGACAGCAGCAGGAGCUCAGGGAAGGACAUGGACAUGCCACCUCACUGGUGAAUACAUCUGACUGGUAGCUGUGAGGGAUCGGAUGCGUGCGCCAUGAGCUAUGCCCUCAUCACGGUGGCAAAUAUUUUACUAAUUGGCUUCUGGAGACUCCAACCUACUAAAGCCGUGCUCCAAAAUAAGCCAGUUUUUGCAGUUACCUAAAAUUACAUUUAGGCUUUCAUGUAAUUAAUGUUCCAUGUUUUAUGAAUUGAAAUUAUUCUCAUGCCUUUCAGGAUCUGACACAAUGCACUAGACCGUGUAUAGUUUAGUGA